This 739-nucleotide long non-coding RNA is filed under the name Manacus vitellinus (golden-collared manakin). RNAcentral describes it as "lncRNA (ENSMVIG00005004104.1)". Lineage: Eukaryota; Metazoa; Chordata; Aves; Passeriformes; Pipridae. The record is from RNAcentral.
GAAAGCUUUUAAGACGCUUGGAAAUGUUUCAAUGAAUUUAAUGGAUCACAGCAAUCCCAGGUGGAAAAGCAGAAUACAGGCAUGCUAAAGAGAAGAGAAUGGAUGAUUCUGUGGUCUGUAAUCAGUCUUCCCAUUAACAUAUUAAUGAAGCAGUAGAGACGAAAAAGGGGAAGAUUUCAUCCUCCAAACAAAGGACUUGUCAUGUCUUAUCAUUACAAUGAAGGCUUUGAAAAUCCAGACUACUACUUCUCAGAGACAUUGGAAAUUGAUAGAAGGGGAAGUUCUCAAAACAAUCCCUUCUCUCACCAAACCCCUGAUGAUCCUUCACUUCAUGGUUCCUAUGGAGAGCGCAGUGGAAGAGAGCAGAACAACCCUGUGGCCAUACCAAUGGGCUCCAUGAGACCUGGCUCUGAAUACAGAGAGGAUUUACCAAGCAGGAGUCCAAAUGGAAAUUUCACAGACAAUCUUUCCUUUGAGCCUGAGCCAGACCUGCCAUACACCCCAGCUUCUACCUUCCAUCAGCUGGAUUAUCCCUAUACCCACAGAAUUUCCAGUGGAUCGGAAGGUAAGGGUUGUGUUUAAAUAAUUGGAUGAAGGAAGGUGGAGAGAGCAGCUGCAUUUUGGUCCCAGGGAAAUGGGAGUCUGGUACAUGUAACAUACUCAGCCUGAUUGAGUGUGAUUCUAAAACAAUCCCCCUGAAGUCAGUUGAAAGAUUUUUAAAGAAAGGCCCUGUCUCUAG